ACAAACACAAAGGGAAAGAGGAGAGGCACCCGAUAUAUGUUCUCUAGGUCUUUUAGAAAAGAUGGAGUUGUUCCUUUGGCCAUGCAUAUGCGAAUCUAUAAGAAAGGUGAUAAUGUAGACAUCAAGGGAAUGGGUACUGUUCAAAAAGGAAUGCCCCACAAGUGUUACCAUGGCAGAACUGAAGGAGUCUACAAUGUUAACCAGCAUGCUGCUGGCAUUGUUGUACACAAGUUGAGGGCAAGAUUCUUGCCAAGAGAAUUAAUGUGUGUAUUGAGCACAUUAAGCACUCUAAUUAAUGUGUGUAUUGAGCACAUAAAGCACUCUAAGAGCCAAGACAGCUUCCUGAAGCACGUGAAAGAAAAUGAUCAGAAAAAGAAGCCAAAGAGAAAGGUACCUGGGUUCAACUG
Molecule: long non-coding RNA, 407 nt
Filed under: Homo sapiens (human)
Lineage: Eukaryota; Metazoa; Chordata; Mammalia; Primates; Hominidae
Description: non-protein coding lnc-CORO6-2:1
Source: RNAcentral